RNAcentral lists this long non-coding RNA (381 nucleotides) under Chinchilla lanigera (long-tailed chinchilla). RNAcentral describes it as "lncRNA (ENSCLAG00000023323.1)". The record is from RNAcentral. Lineage: Eukaryota; Metazoa; Chordata; Mammalia; Rodentia; Chinchillidae.
AGGGUCACAAUGGGAGAGGAGUGGGUGUACCUGCUAGGGGCACUGAUGGGCACUUCUUGGGGUACAGGGCACAAACUAUCUUAGUUGAGAGCUAGGAAGCAGGUAGUACUUGCAGAGAUGCAGGAGGAGGCAGUUUUUGGCAGGGAGGUCACCUGUGACCAAGGCCAGCUGGACAGGGAGUCAAGAUCAGAUAGGCAAAGAGUGCAGCUAAGCCCAGAGGCUGAGGCUGGAGGAUCUGGGCGGAGGUGCGACGGAGAUGGGGGCAUCAGGAGCUUGUCAAGGUGCGGUAGAAUGAUGAUCGUUGUGGUGUCACAAGCAAGAAAGUUGGAAGUCACUGAACGUUCAACUGCUCUUCUGUUACAGCAUUGCAGCUCACCGUGA